UACGAAGGGGGCUAGCGUUGCUCGGAAUCACUGGGCGUAAAGGGUGCGUAGGCGGUUGUUUAAGUUUGGUGUGAAAUCUCCCGGCUCAACUGGGAGGGUGCGCCGAAUACUGAAUGACUAGAGUGCGGGAGAGGAGAGUGGAAUUCCUGGUGUAGCGGUGAAAUGCGUAGAUAUCAGGAGGAACACCGGUGGUGUAGACGGCUCUCUGGACCGUAACUGACGCUGAGGCACGAAAGCGUGGGUAGCAAACAGG
RNAcentral lists this ribosomal RNA (253 nucleotides) under uncultured bacterium. RNAcentral's name for it is "partial 16S ribosomal RNA". It matches the Rfam family "Bacterial small subunit ribosomal RNA", at positions 524 to 776 of the family's 1533-position model. The record is from RNAcentral.